UACGAAGGGUGCAAACGUUGCUCGGAAUCAUUGGGCGUAAAGCGCACGUAGGCGGCCUCAAAAGUCGGAUGUGAAAUCCCGUGGCUCAACCAUGGACGUGCAUUCGAAACUGCGAGGCUUGAGUAUGGAAGAGGGUCGCGGAAUUCCCGGUGUAGAGGUGAAAUUCGUAGAUAUCGGGAGGAACACCAGUGGCGAAGGCGACUCUUUGGUCUGUAACUGACGCUGAGGCGCGAAAGCGUGGGGAGCAAACAGG
Molecule: ribosomal RNA, 253 nt
Filed under: uncultured bacterium
Lineage: Bacteria
Description: partial 16S ribosomal RNA
Rfam family: Bacterial small subunit ribosomal RNA
Source: RNAcentral